GAUGAACGCUGGCGGCGUGCCUAAUACAUGCAAGUCGAGCGAACGGACGAGAAGCUUGCUUCUCUGAUGUUAGCGGCGGACGGGUGAGUAACACGUGGAUAACCUACCUAUAAGACUGGGAUAACUUCGGGAAACCGGAGCUAAUGCCGGAUAAUAUUUUGAACCGCAUGGUUCAAAAGUGAAAGACGGUCUUGCUGUCACUUAUAGAUGGAUCCGCGCUGCAUUAGCUAGUUGGUAAGGUAACGGCUUACCAAGGCAACGAUGCAUAGCCGACCUGAGAGGGUGAUCGGCCACACUGGAACUGAGACACGGUCCAGACUCCUACGGGAGGCAGCAGUAGGGAAUCUUCCGCAAUGGGCGAAAGCCCGACGGAGCAACGCCGCGUGAGUGAUGAAGGUCUUCGGAUCGUAAAACUCUGUUAUUAGGGAAGAACAUAUGUGUAAGUAACUGUGCACAUCUUGACGGUACCUAAUCAGAAAGCCACGGCUAACUACGUG
RNAcentral lists this ribosomal RNA (497 nucleotides) under uncultured bacterium. RNAcentral's name for it is "partial 16S ribosomal RNA". It matches the Rfam family "Bacterial small subunit ribosomal RNA", at positions 28 to 507 of the family's 1533-position model. The record is from RNAcentral.